Long non-coding RNA from Polypterus senegalus (gray bichir), 577 nucleotides. RefSeq lists it as uncharacterized. The record is from RefSeq and is a predicted model, not a curated record. The transcript has 4 exons. NCBI's taxonomy places the organism in Eukaryota, Metazoa, Chordata, Cladistia, Polypteriformes, Polypteridae.
GUAUUUUUUUAACAGUUUUGUUUAGAUUAAAAAAUAAUUUUUUGAUUUAACCUUUUUUCAAAUUAACAGGAUCCUAUAAAUCCAGCUGGGGUCCUGUAAGACAAAACCAUAAAUUGGGUCUGCUAAGAUGUCCUCCAUGAGAGUGGAAAAAUUAUAUUUCAAACUCCUGCAGGGUAUUCAUCACCUAGAAAUCGUUUCGAUUAAGAAUCCACCAAAAGGCAGCAUGUUUUCACUAAUUCUAAAAAACAAGGCGACUUACCUGUUCCGCAAGGUGAAGCCCUCCAGCGGUCCUCUUCGGAUCUGGGGUUUUCUGUGUCGGCGGAGUCGGCUCCUUUUAUUUCUGUAGCUUUGGCUUCAUUGCCCUUGGGCCUGGAUGAGGAUCCUGGAGUGGGUGAGGAUGUUAUUACUUUUUCCUCCCCAGUGAACCAGUUAACAUCUGUCGUGGGGGAUGGCCCUGGCAAGGGGAUUACAGUAAAAGUGUUCUGUUUUGGGUGCAGCCGGUGGGAGUGACCGAUUAAAUAAUAAGCGGACCAAAUUGACAACAAGGUGGUAUUAAACACAAAAUUUAAAAAAGGAA